UACGUAGGGGCAAGCGUUGUCCGGAAUUAUUGGGGCGUAAAGCGCGCGCAGGCGGCAGCUUAAGUCUCAUGUUUAAACCCGGGGCUCAACUUCGGGUCGCAUGGGAAACUGGGCAGCUUGAGUGCAGGAGAGGAGAGUGGAAUUCCACGUGGAGCGGUGAAAUGCGUAGAGAUGUGGAGGAACACCAGUGGCGAAGGCGACUCUCUGGUCUGUAACUGACGCUGAGGUGCGAAAGCGUGAGUAGCGAACAGGAUUAGAUA
Molecule: ribosomal RNA, 260 nt
Filed under: uncultured prokaryote
Description: partial 16S ribosomal RNA
Rfam family: Bacterial small subunit ribosomal RNA
Source: RNAcentral